GUGGGGAAUAUUGGACAAUGGGCGAAAGCCUGAUCCAGCCAUGCCGCGUGUGUGAAGAAGGUCUUCGGAUUGUAAAGCACUUUAAGUUGGGAGGAAGGGCAGUAAGUUAAUACCUUGCUGUUUUGACGUUACCGACAGAAUAAGCACCGGCUAACUUCGUGCCAGCAGCCGCGGUAAUACGAAGGGUGCAAGCGUUAAUCGGAAUUAAUGGGCGUAAAGCUCGCGUAGGUGGUUUUGUAAGUUGGAGGUGAAAUCCCCGGGCUCAACCUGGGAGCUGCCUCCAAAACUGCAUGACUAGAGUACGGUAGAGGGUAGUGGAAUUUCCUGUGUAGCGGUGAAAUGCGUAGAUAUAGGAAGGAACACCAGUGGCGAAGGCGACUACCUGGACUGAUACUGACACUGAGGUGCGAAAGCGUGGGGAGCAAACAGGAUUAGAUACCCGUGUAGUCC
RNAcentral lists this ribosomal RNA (450 nucleotides) under uncultured bacterium. RNAcentral's name for it is "partial 16S ribosomal RNA". It matches the Rfam family "Bacterial small subunit ribosomal RNA", at positions 354 to 796 of the family's 1533-position model. The record is from RNAcentral.